AUGAAUUUCAUAAUCUGGAACUGUCGUGGGGCGGGGAACUCUCGAACAGUUCGUGAUUUAGUGGCUCUGUGUAGAGCCUCCCCGAGUGUAAUAUUUCUGUGUGAAACAAGACAAUCAAAGGAGAAGAUGGCUAGACUUCGUAAUCGUCUGGGUAUGCGAGGUUUUGAAGGUGUGAGCAGCAAUGGAGCUAGUGGUGGACUUGCACUGUUUUUGCUUGAAUCAGUUUCAGUGGAGAUC
This 237-nucleotide ribosomal RNA is filed under the name Triticum aestivum (bread wheat). Its description in RNAcentral is "partial small subunit ribosomal RNA". The record is from RNAcentral. Lineage: Eukaryota; Viridiplantae; Streptophyta; Magnoliopsida; Poales; Poaceae.